This is a long non-coding RNA of Neogale vison (American mink), 931 nucleotides long. RefSeq lists it as uncharacterized. Lineage: Eukaryota; Metazoa; Chordata; Mammalia; Carnivora; Mustelidae. The record is from RefSeq and is a predicted model, not a curated record. The transcript has 4 exons.
ACUUCAUUCUUCCAGUUGCUCAAAACAGAACACUACAAGAUAUUUUUUCCUGUAAUUGAGGUGAAGUCUGGAUACCAUGGUCCAAAAAAUGCAUAGAGAGAACCGAGCACAAGAGAGGUGAAAUGAGUCCUUUUUUCUUAACUGCUUGGAGUUCUUCUGAUCUAAAUGCCAAUAAAUAAGGAGGUGAAAUUCAUACACAAGCACUCCUGGAGGGAAGGCAGCAUGAAGAGGCUCAGGGAGAAGACAGCCAUCUACAAGCCAAGGCGAGAGGUUGGGAACACGUCCUUCCCCCACGGUCAGCAGAAGGAAUCAACCCUGCCACCCGCUGAUUUUGGACUUCUAGACUCCAGAAUUAUUUGGAGUCAGAGCCCAGCAAAUCCUCGCUCUCGCAUUUCCUGCCUGUGUGACUUUGAGCAAGCCACUGGAACACUCUGAGCUUUGGUUUCACCAUCCGCAAGAUCUGGGAAAAUGCUUAUCACAGUAAGAAUCGCAUGAGCUCAUGGUAGGUGCUCACAAGUCAUCAGGACUUUGCCUUCCUAUUCCACUCUCUACUUCUUUACUAGAUAAAGGAAAUCAUGCACCAUGUGACCCUGCAGGGGCACCAAAGCCCUAAGGCCUAAACUUGACUUGGCAGGACAUGUUCAUUUGCGGGGGCUUGAGUUUGACAGUCAGCAAAGCCAUCCUUUAGCUGGGCCUGGGAAAUGUGUUUCCAGGGAAGCAGCCAGGUUCCUUCUCUUGGUGGAAUGCUAAAGUUAUCUCAUUAACUCCUCUUUUUUUUUUUUUAGAACCUGUGGAUGUGUGAGUGUGAAGGAGAGGUGAAGGCCUAUAGAUAAGUUGGUGAAUCUUGCUCUGUCUGUUCCUAGGACUUGCUCUGGGAAACUGCUCUGGGUUUGUGUUUAUCCCCUCUCUCUUGCCUUUUUUUUUUUUUUUU